AUUGAACGCUGGCGGCAUGCCUUACACAUGCAAGUCGAACGGCAGCACGGGUGCUUGCACCUGGUGGCGAGUGGCGAACGGGUGAGUAAUAUAUCGGAACGUACCUUAUUGUGGGGGGAAACGCAGCGAAAGCUGUGCUAAUACCGCAUAAUCCCCAAGGGGGAAAGCGGGGGACCGUAAGGCCUCACGCAAUUAGAGCGGCCGAUACCUGAUUAGCUAGUUGGUGAGGUAAAGGCUCACCAAGGCAACGAACAGUAGCGGGUCUGGGAGGACGAUCAGCAACACUGGGACUGAGAAACGGCCCAGACUCCUACGGGAGGCAGCAGUGGGGAAUUUUGGACAAUGGGGGCAACCCUGAUCCAGCAAUGCCGCGUGAGUGAAGAAGGCCUUCGGGUUGUAAAGCUCUUUUGUCAGGGAAGAAACAGCAGCUCUAACACAGUUUGCGAAUGACGGUACCUGAAGAAUAAGCACCGGCUAACUACGUGCCAGCCGCCGCCGUAA
RNAcentral lists this ribosomal RNA (501 nucleotides) under uncultured bacterium. RNAcentral's name for it is "partial 16S ribosomal RNA". It matches the Rfam family "Bacterial small subunit ribosomal RNA", at positions 30 to 523 of the family's 1533-position model. The record is from RNAcentral.